GACGAACGCUGGCGGCGUGCUUAACACAUGCAAGUCGAACGGAAAGGCCCUGCGUUCGUGGGGUGCUCGAGUGGCGAACGGGUGAGUAACACGUGAGUAACCUGCCCUAGACUUUGGGAUAACUUCAGGAAACUGGGGCUAAUACCGUAUAGGAGCUCCUCCUGCAUGGAGGGGGUUGGAAAUUUUCGGCGGGUGUGGAUGGAUUGGCGGCUUACCAGCUUGUUGGUGGGGUAGUGGAUUACCAAGGGUUUGACGGGUAGCCCGCCUGGGAGGGGGACCGGCGACAAGGGGACUGAGAUACGGCCCAGACGCCUACGGGAGGCAGCAGGGGGGAACAUUGCACAAUGGGCGGAAGCCUGAUGCAGCAACGCCGCGGGCGGGAUGACGGCCUUCGGGUUGUAAACCGCUUUCGCCUGUGACGAAGCGUUAGUGACGGUAAUGAGUAAAGAAGCACCGGCUAACUACGUG
Molecule: ribosomal RNA, 468 nt
Filed under: uncultured bacterium
Lineage: Bacteria
Description: partial 16S ribosomal RNA
Rfam family: Bacterial small subunit ribosomal RNA
Source: RNAcentral